This 1844-nucleotide long non-coding RNA is filed under the name Amborella trichopoda. Its description in RNAcentral is "long non-coding RNA (ATRI_LNC000693)". Lineage: Eukaryota; Viridiplantae; Streptophyta; Magnoliopsida; Amborellales; Amborellaceae. The record is from RNAcentral.
CUUUAUUGAAAAAUCGAAGAAAAAUCCCUUUUGUUAUAAGUAAGAAAGAGCCUACUACCUAAUAGCGCCCCAUGGCUUCCCUUUCAUUGUGAAAUAUCUCCCCUUCUCUUUAUCUUUAACAGUACUUGUGUAAUAGGAACUCUCUGAAGUAAGAAAACGGCUACGCGUUACUAAUUGUUAGCUAGGGCGCUCAUCAAUUGCACUUUCCUUAGAGCAUAAGACUCUUUGCUUUGUUGUGAAUCCUAUCCUGAAUGUAGGAGCGUCAAUCAAUGACUAUCUUCCCUUUAUCCCUUUUAUACUGGUAAAUGGAAGGUAAAGUGGAGUUAAGGAAGGUGGCAUAGGCUCUUCGGGGUGAACUAAUGGAAUAGAUAAGCACGAAUAGAGUGUACGUUAGGAAGUCUCCCUAAUGCUGAUGAUCAAACGUUCCUUCGGAUAUGUAUGAGAAGGAAGCCUCUCAGAGACAUUGACUCUUAGAUAGAUACCAGCAUAGUCUUUUAAUUAACAUUUUCUUGAACUUUGUUGCAACCCGUAAAGCAAUCGAUAGCUUAAUAGAGCAGCGAAAGAAGAUCAGGUAAUCUUUCCUAACUAGCAAGUGGAAGAUCAUUCCAGGCUCUAAUCCAGUCUCUGAUGGCGUAGCUGAUGUGUCAUGCUAGGAAGCUGAGCUAGGGCAUUGAUUCUUUCUCAACGGGAUUGAACACCUUCCUCUAUGCUAACAGAAGUGGAGAGACCGAGGUCUAAGUAAGAAGUAUGAGAUUGUCUAGAAUGAAAGGCGUCAGAAGUAUGGAUUUGUGCUGCCUUCUGGCUUUAAUAAAGUGGCAUCCUCUUCUUGAUUGACCGGUGCUGUCGAGAGAAUUCGUUAGGAUAGCUAGAAUCAGAGAAUGAGUUGUAAAAAUUAUGACCUUUUGGCCUAUAAAUGCCCAAAUAGCCUGAGUUGCCCGAAUAGCCUAAAACCUGACGAAGAACCUGCAAAUAGUGCAUGAACCUAGAGUUGGUCUUAAGAAGGGAGUUUGCUGAAUCGUGUUACAAUGCUUUCUAUGCCUUUUAUCGAUAGGUAGAGGUAAAGAUCCUCCCUGUCAGAUGUUGAGAAAGCUUGACAUCGAGGUCAUACAAUGGCUUCUCCAAUAAAUAGACUCUCUAUGGCAGGUACUGGAACCAGACCAGGCUUUAGGAAGGCACUAACCCAAUCGCUCCUAGUUGACCGAUUGGAUUGCAUCUCCUUGCCUUGAGACAUUCUUCUCUACCUUUCCAUCUCAUAUAGGUUCAAAACGACGAAAUAGUCUUUUAGGUAAUAAGAGGUCAAGCAAGGCGCAACAAAUCUCACCACUAUAGCUGGAAAAAAACAUAAACAAUGACUCUCAAGAAGCACUCACAUGAGUGAAAUGAGGUUGACGUCGAAAAAUACGGUGUUGAUACUCUUUUUCGAAAAUAGAGAAGUGCUUUUACUCAUAAAAGGUAGUUAUGCCAAAAAACACGGGGUUGAAGCUACUUGGUGACAUUUCUUUGACCCAAAGCCAUGGCAUCCACUCGAAUUUCUUUAAGGCUGAAAAUCAUCACCAUUUCCAUAAACCGACCAACGCCCUUCCUUUAAUAGAAAGAAGAAAUGGGCUUCUUAAAAUCAACUUAUGUUCGAGAUUACUCUGACCUGAACUGGAACAAGUAGUCCCUUUGUAUUCAGCGAAAUUGCCUUCUUGCUUUAAAGCUGACUUGGCAGCAAUAGAUGCUUCGUUUCUUUUGCUGCGAAGUCCGAUUUUCUCUCCGAUCGGUAACCGAUUCGAGGAGUCGAAGAAAGUUUGAGUGCGGAAGUGCUUUUCCUUGCUCAAUCGAAGUCUAUUGCCACUUCAUCG